GACGAACCGUGCGAACGUUAUUCGGAAUCACUGGGCUUAAAGGGCGCGUAGGCGGCGUGACAAGUCACUUGUGAAAUCUCCGGGCUUAACCCGGAGCGGCCAAGCGAUACUGUCGUGCUAGAGUGCGGAAGGGGCUACUGGAAUUCUCGGUGUAGCGGUGAAAUGCGUAGAUAUCGAGAGGAACACCUGCGGCGAAGGCGGGUAGCUGGGCCGACACUGACGCUGAGGCGCGAAAGCCAGGGGAGCGAACGGG
Molecule: ribosomal RNA, 253 nt
Filed under: uncultured bacterium
Lineage: Bacteria
Description: partial 16S ribosomal RNA
Rfam family: Bacterial small subunit ribosomal RNA
Source: RNAcentral